CCUACGGGCGGCAGCAGUGAGGAAUAUUGGUCAAUGGGCGGAAGCCUGAACCAGCCAAGUAGCGUGCGGGAUGAAGGCCCUACGGGUCGUAAACCGCUUUUGCACGGGGAUAACACCCUCCACUUGUGGAGGUCUGCAGGUACCGUGCGAAUAAGGGCCGGCUAAUUCCGUGCCAGCAGCCGCGGUAAUACGGAAGGCCCGAGCGUUAUCCGGAUUCAUUGGGCUUAAAGGGAGCGUAGGCGGGCGUUCAAGUCAGCUGUAAAAUCGCGCGGCUCAACCGCGCCCCGAAGUUGAAACUGGACGCAUUGAGUUCACAACAGGCAGGCGGAAUUCGUGGUGUAGCGGUGAAAUGCAUAGAUAUCACGAGGAACCCCGAUUGCGAAGGCAGCCUGCCGGGGUGUGACUGACGCUGAGGCUCGAAGGUGCGGGUAUCAAACAGGAUUAGAUACCCCUGUAGUC
This 459-nucleotide ribosomal RNA is filed under the name uncultured bacterium. RNAcentral describes it as "partial 16S ribosomal RNA". It matches the Rfam family "Bacterial small subunit ribosomal RNA", at positions 338 to 795 of the family's 1533-position model. The record is from RNAcentral.